UUAAGCACUCGUCCAAUAUUUUUACAAUGUUUCGCCGCUCCUAAAUACAUAUUUGGGUAUUCAUGUUCACAUAUGUACAUAUACACAUACAUUUACUUUGAUCUAUUUUCGCUGACGUCGCCAUCUUAAUAAAUCUAUUUUGAAAGAUGGAGAUACAAGCUGUAUUUUAUAAACUCUUCCCAAAUGAAAUUGCUGCCAGAGAAUGCUAUGCAGUCAACUAACUGCACAUGUUAUUUCCUAAACUACUAUAACAUCAUAAAAGAUCCAUCCCAUAUCCCAUAAAGUGCUACUCGUUGGGAUUUAGGAAUCUCGAAACUGGGACGAAGUAAACGACUUACUAUUACUAUAACAUCAUAAAUCGUCCCAAUGGGAUUUAGGAAUCUCGAAACUGGGACGAAACCGUAAAAAUUGUAUAACAUAUGCAUGAAGCAUCCAAGUGCUAAUUCUUGUAUUUCAUUUCCUCGUUAUAUUCCAAAUUUUCUUGAAUCUGGGCUUUUGUAUUUCUUCCUAUAAAUGUGCACCUGCAAUUCUACAUAAAUGCACACCCAAAAACCUCGCUCAACAUAUUUACAAUGA
Molecule: long non-coding RNA, 576 nt
Organism: Zeugodacus cucurbitae (melon fly)
Lineage: Eukaryota; Metazoa; Arthropoda; Insecta; Diptera; Tephritidae
Exons: 3
Source: RefSeq, a predicted model, not a curated record